GAUGAACGCUAGCGGGAGGCCUAACACAUGCAAGCCGAGCGGUAUUGUUUCUUCGGAAAUGAGAGAGCGGCGUACGGGUGCGGAACACGUGUGCAACCUGCCUUUAUCUGGGGGAUAGCCUUUCGAAAGGAAGAUUAAUACUCCAUAAUAUAUUGAACGGCAUCGUUUAAUAUUGAAAGCUCCGGCGGAUAGAGAUGGGCACGCGCAAGAUUAGCUAGUUGGUGAGGUAACGGCUCACCAAGGCAAUGAUCUUUAGGGGGCCUGAGAGGGUGAUCCCCCACACUGGUACUGAGACACGGACCAGACUCCUACGGGAGCAGCAGUGAGGAAUAUUGGUCAAUGGGUGCAAGCCUGAACCAGCCAUCCCGCGUGAAGGACGACGGCCCUAUGGGUUGUAAACUUCUUUUGUAUAGGGAUAAACCUUUCCACGUGUGGAAAGCUGAAGGUACUAUACGAAUAAGCACCGGCUAACUCCGUGCCAGCAGCCGCGGUAAUAGUACUCUA
Molecule: ribosomal RNA, 504 nt
Filed under: uncultured bacterium
Lineage: Bacteria
Description: bacterial SSU rRNA
Rfam family: Bacterial small subunit ribosomal RNA
Source: RNAcentral